AUCGAGUCUUUGAACGCAAGUUGCGCCCGAAGCCGUCAGGCCGAGGGCACGCCUGCCUGGGCGUCACAC
Molecule: ribosomal RNA, 69 nt
Filed under: Pyracantha coccinea
Lineage: Eukaryota; Viridiplantae; Streptophyta; Magnoliopsida; Rosales; Rosaceae
Description: 5.8S ribosomal RNA
Source: RNAcentral